This 85-nucleotide transfer RNA is filed under the name Halomonas ventosae. RNAcentral describes it as "tRNA-Ser". It matches the Rfam family "tRNA". Rfam says of the family: Transfer RNA (tRNA) molecules are approximately 80 nucleotides in length. Lineage: Bacteria; Pseudomonadati; Pseudomonadota; Gammaproteobacteria; Oceanospirillales; Halomonadaceae. The record is from RNAcentral.
GGAGGGGUGUCCGAGUGGUCGAAGGAGCACGCCUGGAAAGUGUGUAGGUCGAAAGGCCUCGAGGGUUCGAAUCCCUCCCCCUCCG